This 492-nucleotide ribosomal RNA is filed under the name uncultured bacterium. Its description in RNAcentral is "partial 16S ribosomal RNA". It matches the Rfam family "Bacterial small subunit ribosomal RNA", at positions 29 to 507 of the family's 1533-position model. The record is from RNAcentral.
AGUGAACGCUGGCGGUAGGCCUAUCACAUGCAAGUCGAACGGCAGCACAGUAAGAGCUUGCUCUUACGGGUGGCGAGUGGCGGACGGGUGAUGAAUACAUCGGAAUCUACUUUUUCGUGGGGGAUAACGUAGGGAAACUUACGCUAAUACCGCAUACGACCUACGGGUGAAAGCAGGGGAUCUUCGGACCUUGCGCGAUUGAAUGAGCCGAUGUCGGAUUAGCUAGUUGGCGGGGUAAAGGCCCACCAAGGCGACGAUCCGUAGCUGGUCUGAGAGGAUGAUCAGCCACACUGGAACUGAGACACGGUCCAGACUCCUACGGGAGGCAGCAGUGGGGAAUAUUGGACAAUGGGCGCAAGCCUGAUCCAGCCAUACCGCGUGGGUGAAGAAGGCCUUCGGGUUGUAAAGCCCUUUUGUUGGGAAAGAAAAGCAGCAGGUUAAUACCCCGCUGUUCUGACGGUACCAAAAGAAUAAGCACCGGCUAACUUCGUG